GCUUCUCGACGUCCUCGAGCGGGCGGAACCACACCUUCUGGUCCAGCACCGUGCCUCCCGCAGCAUUCGCGGCGGCAGCGUCCGGCGCGCCAGCAGCAGCGGCCAGCUUGGGGUCCACCGCCGCCGGGCCGAACACGCCGGUCGUCGGGUGCGGGCUCCAGUACUUGUCGGGGUUCCCGGCGCCGCCGCCGAUCACAUCGUCCGGCACGAACGCCGGCCGCACCUGGUCCUCCAGGUUCUUGUCGUACGCCGAGGCGUGCACGGCCCUCCUGCACACGGGAAACACACGUCACCCAGAUGAGAUGAGGAGCGGUGAAUAACAGUAAAAAGUUCGUCUCGUGGUUCAUCCCCUAGAAUAUCGAAAACUUUUCACCCUCGAACGCAUCACGAUCGGAGGAGUUCCACGCGAGGCAGGGCUGCGCGCGCACAUGGACAUGGGGAAGAGGACACGCACGACUGCGGAUAAGAGCGAGGCGAGGCCAGGUGGCCGGCACCUCCAUCCCCACCCCCACUCACCUCCGUACCACGUUCGGUACUACAGAGCCACGCCGCAUCGGGCACCGUCCGAUGGGGGUGUUGGGUGUGUCCGGGGGACCAGCAACAGACGGCCCUGAUCGGUCGUCGGCCCGGCUCGAUGGGGAUCGGAGUACGGACCGGACGCGAAAGGACGGCAAGUGGGGCCCGGCGGAUGCGGGUGCUUCACGUCCUGGCCCCACCCGUCAUACGGAGGAGGAGGGGUCUCCUUUGAGUGAGAACCAAACCAAAGCGCCAGGAGCCAUGGCAGAUCGGCCGGCAAGCCGGUAGAUGGAGUGAUGAGUGGUGAGAGGGUGGAGCGACAACUACCGCGCACCAGACCCAUCCGUCCCCGAGAAAUUUUUCUGAAAGCGAUGCGAUUGCGAUGGAUGGAAGGAGGGGGCAAUCAGCAGGCCAACGGGUGGGUCGCUUGCUUUGAUGUGCCUCCAAACUCCACUGCUCCUCCUCAUCUUCUUUGUGUGGGUGCGCCUGCCUGCCAGUGGACAGUGCGAGUGCCCGAGUGGCGUGGCGUUUGGCUUUUCCUGACAGGCAGUCGUUCUUGCAGAUUUGACAGUCUGAAGUGGGCAGAACGGCACAGGAAAUAUCUACUGUGGAAAGCGCUCGAAAAGAACAGCGAAGAAGGCGGAGUAAAUCUAGCUUUUCAUGAAUCGAUCGAUUUUUAUCUGAAAGUUCAGAUAAAUAUUGAAAAAAAAAUCAGAUUGGAGAUUUUAAUGUUUAUGUCUAUUGACGUAUAAAUGUUGAGAUUUUUUUUCAACCCUAGUUAAACUUGAGAUUAUUGGCCUUUUGAUGAAGACAUCACUACACGGAUGAUGGAUCUGGUUUGAUUGGGAGAUGCAAGGAUUUCUACUUCUACGGAGAUGGAGUGGUGGCAUACUAAAUGAGUUCGGAAGUGGCACUGUGCCAGGCUUCCAUUUCCAUGUGCUCCCCCUUGGUUGGCCCCUCUAUUAUUGUGUUCUACGGUAAACAAGCUGGCGAUGUUCCCAAAGGCCAAAACAGAGGGUUGCCAUAUCUGCGUAGCAGACCAUGUGAGAAGAUGAGUUCUAGUAGAUUUUCUGCUGUUCCUGAGUUCUAGUAUAUUUUCUGCUGACCAAAAUCUUGGCACCAGCAGCACACUGAACCAGAGUUAUCCACAAAAAGCUACGAUAAGCAAACAGAUCGCUCUGCUACAACUACAACUAAACUACCCCAAAGAUCUUGGACGAACUGAACAAGAACAAGCAUCCUCAAACAUAGUACUAGCAGUAGCAGGUGAACAAAAAACCAUAAUCGCAGGGCAAAACCGAAAACCGCUUGUGGCCCGUCGUCUCAGUACCUCGGGGAAGCGGCCUUGCCGGCCAGGACGCGGCUGACGAAGCUUCCAGCGAUCGCCCGCCCCUUGGAACUAGCUGCUGCUGCCAUGCAAAGACCGGCCGUUCGGGAGCGGAGGUGAGGGGAGCAGUGAAACCGCUGUGCCGCGGCGAGGUUAGGGAAGAGAGGUUGAAAUGGUG
Molecule: long non-coding RNA, 2021 nt
Filed under: Sorghum bicolor (sorghum)
Lineage: Eukaryota; Viridiplantae; Streptophyta; Magnoliopsida; Poales; Poaceae
Description: long non-coding RNA (SBIC_LNC011399)
Source: RNAcentral